Molecule: ribosomal RNA, 577 nt
Filed under: Lamproderma aeneum
Lineage: Eukaryota; Evosea; Eumycetozoa; Stemonitida; Stemonitidae
Description: bacterial SSU rRNA
Rfam family: Eukaryotic small subunit ribosomal RNA
Source: RNAcentral
UAUGCUUCUCCUAAAGACUAAGCCAUGCAUGCCUAAGAAUAAGAGGAAGCAAUUCUCUCUGAAUCUGCGAACGGCUCCGCAAACCAGUUGUAAACUAUAGCAAGCAAGCCCGGGAUCGGCCUUCACGGGCUGGUUCCGGGUGAUAUGGAUAACCCUGGUAAUUCUGAGGCUAAUACAUGACCGUAAAACCUAGCUGACCGGCUUCGGCUGGGAUGCUGGGGGACGUGUGAUUUGGGCUUGGUAACACCGGGAAGGGGCGCACGUCUAGACCACGCUAUAAAGGUCGGUUUCCCCUUCGGGGGGGGCUGUCCCAGUGGCUCUUGCUGUGUGCUUCUGACCUAUCAACUAGACGGCAGCGUAAGGGACAUGCUAUGGUGACAACGGGUACAGAGGAUUAGGGUUCGAUCCUGGAGAGUGGGCCUGAGAGAUUGCUCAUACUUCUAAGGAAGGCAGCAGGCGCGCAACGUUCCCCUUGGGCAAUGCCCGAGGGCGUUAGGGGACAUAUGAAUGCCUGCCCAUUGGGUGGGCAAUUCAAAUGGGUCUGUUGUAAACAGGCUCUCGAGUAACAAUUAGAGGA